UACGUAGGAUCCGAGCGUUAUCCGGAUUUAUUGGGUUUAAAGGGAGCGUAGACGGCUGUGCAAGUCUGAAGUGAAAUGCCGGGGCUCAACCCCGGGACUGCAUUUGAAACUGCCGAGCUGGAGUGUCGGAGAGGCAAGUGGAAUUCCUAGUGUAGCGGUGAAAUGCGUAGAUAUUAGGAGGAACACCAGUGGCGAAGGCGGCUUGCUGGACGAUAACUGACGCUGAGGCUCGAAAGCGUGGGGAGCAA
This 248-nucleotide ribosomal RNA is filed under the name uncultured Lachnospiraceae bacterium. RNAcentral describes it as "partial 16S ribosomal RNA". It matches the Rfam family "Bacterial small subunit ribosomal RNA", at positions 524 to 771 of the family's 1533-position model. Lineage: Bacteria; Bacillati; Bacillota; Clostridia; Lachnospirales; Lachnospiraceae. The record is from RNAcentral.